This 191-nucleotide unclassified non-coding RNA is filed under the name Penaeus japonicus. Its description in RNAcentral is "pro-resilin-like, transcript variant X3". Lineage: Eukaryota; Metazoa; Arthropoda; Malacostraca; Decapoda; Penaeidae. The record is from RNAcentral.
AGUUCAACCUGAAUUCCAUCCACUAACAUGAACACCAAGGUCCUCAUCCUCCUCGGCCUGGCAGCCAUCGUUGCUGCCGACAGCCGUGAAACCUAUGCUUACCGCGCACCCAGGGCAUCCUCUGAGGAAUCCUACGAGUCCACCGAGGCCAAGUACAACUUCAACUGGGCCGUCAGCGAUGACUCCUCAAC